This 397-nucleotide ribosomal RNA is filed under the name uncultured bacterium. RNAcentral describes it as "partial 16S ribosomal RNA". It matches the Rfam family "Bacterial small subunit ribosomal RNA", at positions 523 to 918 of the family's 1533-position model. The record is from RNAcentral.
CUACGUAGGUGACAAGCGUUAUCCGGAUUUACUGGGCGUAAAGGGCGUGUAGGCGGUCUUGCAAGUCAGAAGUGAAAUUCCUGAGCUCAACUCGGGCGCUGCUUCUGAAACUGCAGGACUUGAGUGCUGGAGGGGAUAGCGGAAUUCCUAGUGGAGCGGUAAAAUGCGCAGAAAUUAGGAAGAACACCGGUGGCGAAGGCGGCUAUCUGGGAAGUAACGGACGCGGAGGCGCGAAAGCGGGGGGAGCAAAAAGGAUUAGAUACCCGGGUAGUCAACGCCGUAAACGAUGAAUACUAGGUGUAGGGGGUAUCGACUCCCUCUGUGCCGCAGUUAACACAAUAAGUAUUCCGCCUGGGGAGUACGGCCGUAAGGUUGAAACUCAAAUGAAUUGACGGGG